AACUAACAGGGAUUCCCCUAGUAACUGCGAGUGAAGCGGGAAAAGCUCAAAUUUAAAAUCUGGCGGUCUUCGGCCGUCCGAGUUGUAGUCUGGAGAAGUGCUUUCCGCGCUGGACCGUGUAUAAGUCUCUUGGAACAGAGCGUCAUAGAGGGUGAGAAUCCCGUCUUUGACACGGACUACCAGUGCUUUGUGAUGCGCUCUCAAAGAGUCGAGUUGUUUGGGAAUGCAGCUCAAAAUGGGUGGUGAAUUCCAUCUAAAGCUAAAUAUUGGCGAGAGACCGAUAGCGAACAAGUACCGUGAGGGAAAGAUGAAAAGCACUUUGGAAAGAGAGUUAAACAGUACGUGAAAUUGCUGAAAGGGAAACGCUUGAAGUCAGUCGCGUCGUCCGGAACUCAGCCUUGCUUUCGCUUGGUGCACUUUCCGGAUGACGGGUCAGCAUCGAUUUUGACCGUCGGAAAAGGGCUGGAGUAAUGUGGCACCUCCGGGUGUGUUAUAGACUCUAGUCGCAUACGGCGGUUGGGAUCGAGGAACGCAGCGCGCCGCAAGGCAGGGGUUCGCCCACUUUCGCGCUUAGGAUGCUGGCAUAAUGGCUUUAAACGACCCGUCUUGAAACACGGACCAAGGAGUCUAACAUACCUGCGAGUGUUUGGGUGGAAAACCCGAGCGCGUAAUGAAAGUGAAAGUUGAGACCUCUGUCGUGGAGGGCAUCGACGCCCGGACCUGACGUUCUCUGAAGGAUCCGCGGUAGAGCAUGUAUGUUGGGACCCGAAAGAUGGUGAACUAUGCCUGAAUAGGGUGAAGCCAGAGGAAACUCUGGUGGAGGCUCGUAGCGAUUCUGACGUGCAAAUCGAUCGUCAAAUUUGGGUAUAGGGGCGAAAGACUAAUCGA
This 888-nucleotide ribosomal RNA is filed under the name Ganoderma weixiensis. Its description in RNAcentral is "partial large subunit ribosomal RNA". It matches the Rfam family "Eukaryotic large subunit ribosomal RNA", at positions 63 to 938 of the family's 3401-position model. The record is from RNAcentral. Lineage: Eukaryota; Fungi; Basidiomycota; Agaricomycetes; Polyporales; Polyporaceae.